Molecule: ribosomal RNA, 439 nt
Filed under: uncultured bacterium
Lineage: Bacteria
Description: bacterial SSU rRNA
Rfam family: Bacterial small subunit ribosomal RNA
Source: RNAcentral
UCGGGAAUUUUGGGCAAUGGGCGAAAGCCUGACCCAGCAACGCCGCGUGAAGGAUGAAGUAUUUCGGUAUGUAAACUUCGUAAGAAUAGGAAGAAUAAAUGACGGUACUAUUUGUAAGGUCCGGCUAACUACGUGCCAGCAGCCGCGGUAAUACGUAGGGACCAAGCGUUGUUCGGAUUUACUGGGCGUAAAGGGCGCGUAGGCGGUGUGUCAAGUCAGUUGUGAAAUCUCCGAGCUUAACUCGGAACGGUCAACUGAUACUGUCACACUAGAGUACAGAAGGGGCAAUCGGAAUUCUUGGUGUAGCGGUGAAAUGCGUAGAUAUCAAGAGGAACACCUGAGGCGAAGGCGGGUUGCUGGGCUGAUACUGACGCUGAGGCGCGAAAGCUAGGGUAGCAAACGGGAUUAGAUACCCGUGUAGUCCCUGAGCGGGCUGGCA